GAUUAACGCUGGCGGCGUGCAUGAAACAUGCAAGUCGAGCGCGGUACGUGGCUUCGGUCACGUAUCUAGCGGCGCACGGGUGAGUAACACGUGAGCAACCUACCUUCGAGUUCGGGAUAGCCCUGGGAAACCAGGAUUAAUACCGGAUGUGGUCACAGAGGGACAUCCCACUGUGAAAAAAGGCGCAAGCCGCUCGAUGACGGGCUCGCGGCCUAUUAGCUUGUUGGUGGGGUAACGGCCUACCAAGGCGACGAUGGGUAGCUGGUCUGA
RNAcentral lists this ribosomal RNA (270 nucleotides) under uncultured bacterium. RNAcentral describes it as "partial 16S ribosomal RNA". It matches the Rfam family "Bacterial small subunit ribosomal RNA", at positions 28 to 295 of the family's 1533-position model. The record is from RNAcentral.